This 456-nucleotide ribosomal RNA is filed under the name uncultured bacterium. RNAcentral's name for it is "SSU rRNA". It matches the Rfam family "Bacterial small subunit ribosomal RNA", at positions 26 to 518 of the family's 1533-position model. The record is from RNAcentral.
AGGAUAAACGCUGGCGGCGUGCCUAAUACAUGCAAGUCGAGCGGCAGCGCGGUCUUCGGACUGGCGGCGAGCGGCGGACGGCUGAGUAACACGUAGGAACGUACCCCAAAGUGAGGGAUAAGCACCAGAAAUGGUGUCUAAUACCGCAUGUGCUCUAAGGAGUAAAGCUUCGGCGCUUUGGGAACGGCCUACGCAUGAUUAGCUUGUUGGUGAGGUAAUGGCUCACCAAGGCGACGAUCAUUAGCUGGUCUGAGAGGAUGAUCAGCCAGACUGGGACUGAGAACGGCCCAGACUCCUACGGGAGGCAGCAGUAGGGAAUUUUCCACAAUGGGCGAAAGCCUGAUGGAGCAACGCCGCGUGCAGGAUGAAGGCCUUAGGGUUGUAAACUGCUUUAUGUGUGACGAAUAUGACGGUAGCAUAUGAAUAAGGAUCGGCUAACUCCGUGCCAGCAGCCGC